The submitters of this non-coding RNA (100 nucleotides) gave its source as unclassified sequences. The record is from Rfam.
GGCCUUGCCUCAUGGCAAAACAUACACUUUAGCAGAAUAGCAAGUAGAUGAUGGCAAUGGGUCAUCCGGUCGAAAGUUAGGACAUUAGAAAAGCAGACAA